RNAcentral lists this ribosomal RNA (465 nucleotides) under uncultured bacterium. RNAcentral describes it as "partial 16S ribosomal RNA". It matches the Rfam family "Bacterial small subunit ribosomal RNA", at positions 28 to 507 of the family's 1533-position model. The record is from RNAcentral.
GACGAACGCUGGCGGCGUGCUUAACACAUGCAAGUCGAACGGAAAGGCCCUGCUUGCAGGGUACUCGAGUGGCGAACGGGUGAGUAACACGUGGGUGAUCUGCCCUGCACUUCGGGAUAAGCCUGGGAAACUGGGUCUAAUACCGGAUAGGAGCCAUUUUUAGUGUGAUGGUUGGAAAGUUUUUUCGGUGUAGGAUGAGCUCGCGGCCUAUCAGCUUGUUGGUGGGGUAAUGGCCUACCAAGGCGGCGACGGGUAGCCGGUCUGAGAGGGUGGACGGCCACAUUGGGACUGAGAUACGGCCCAGACUCCUACGGGAGGCAGCAGUGGGGAAUAUUGCACAAUGGGCGCAAGCCUGAUGCAGCGACGCCGCGUGGGGGAUGACGGCCUUCGGGUUGGAAACUCCUUUCGCUAGGGACGAAGCUUUUUGUGACGGUACCUAGAUAAGAAGCACCGGCUAACUACGUG